UUUCCUGGGCCAGCCCGCACCCUGUCGCUGGGCCCGUGAUGUCUCGACUCUGGGAAACACGUCAGGCCUCUGCUGUGUGGAACAGUGAAUUCUGACAGCUGUGAGCGAGUUCUGGAGACUUGGGGGAAAGUGUGCUGAAGGGGGCCAGGUGGCGUCGCAGCUCCCGUCCUUGGAGGCUUAUCACCCACCGACAGAUAAACAGACUUGGCCCACAUGACUCACGAGGGAGGCUUAACUCCUUCUGAGAUUGCCAGUUCCCGGGAAACUGGGGGAAAAACAAGCAGAAAGAGGAAGGUUUGUUUGUUUGCUCGACAAAUGUUUACCGAGCACCGUGACGUGGCGGCCUGUCCUCAGCCUCGGAAGAUGCACAGCUCCAAGCAAGGCCGGCGAGUUCCCGGUCGUCCCGCAGUGUCCACUCCAGGGAGAGAGGACAAGAGGAAACUGGAUUCUCGGUCACAGCUGGUGACCUACAGUGCAGUGUAAGAAGGUUAGAACGCAUGAUGGUUAGACGGCAUCACCGACUCAAUGGACAUGAAUCUGAGCCAGCUUCAGGAGACAGUGGGGAACAGAGGGACCUGGCAGGCUGCAGUCCAUGAGGUCGCAGAGUUGGACAUGACCUAGCAACCGAACAACAACAAUCACUGUGUAAUCUGUUUAUGGGGGGAGGCACUGAUGACAUCCUUGGUGAACAAAGUGACUGAAGGUUAAGUGGUGAGCAGUGGCUUAUCUUCCAGAACGGCAGCUCCUGCAGGCGAUGGGUGUACGUGGCAGGGAGGAGACUAUCACAGAGCCGCAGCGUCCCUACUGACUCCUAGACCAAUGAGCUUCUGAUUCCUUUGUUCAGCUACGGGAUGGAGCCCUGGGCUUUUAUCCACGUUUCCUUAAGAAGUAAAGGCUGACUUUAUUGCACUUUGCAGAUACUGCGAUUGUUUUUUUGUUUUUUUUUUAAUUGAAGGUUUGGGGCAACCCUGUGAUGUCAGAUGAUGGUUAACUUUUUUUUUUUUUUUAGCAUUAAAAGUUUUUUUUUAAGUCUUUAUUGAAUUUGUAACAAUAUUGCUUCUGCUUUAUGUUUUGAUUGUUUGGCUGCGAGAGAUCUGAGCCGCCUAACCAGGGAUCAAACCCGUGCCUCUUGCACUGGAAGGUGAGGACUUAAUCACUGGACCACCAGGGAAGACCCCUGGCAAUAAAGUAUUUUAAAUUAAA
Long non-coding RNA from Cervus elaphus (red deer), 1203 nucleotides. RefSeq lists it as uncharacterized. NCBI's taxonomy places the organism in Eukaryota, Metazoa, Chordata, Mammalia, Artiodactyla, Cervidae. The record is from RefSeq and is a predicted model, not a curated record. The transcript is spliced from 4 exons.